UUUUCCUCCAGUCUGUGAAAUCUUGCAGAUGCCAUUAGGAGCACCGGAGGACACAGAGGCUCUGCUCAGUCCUGUGCUGUGUACUGAACUGAAUGCCCACAGCGUCUCCGGUCCUCUGAUGACAGGGUUGAAACUGGACACCAAUGUCAUUCUUCUGUGAUGUCAAUAUUACCUGGAUGACUGCUCUGCUUCUAAACCACGACUCGAAAAUAUGUGUGCAUGUGGUUUAGAGAUGUCGAGUGUGGAAAAAGAGCAGGAGAAAAGUGGAGGGAGGUGGAAGAGGAUAUGACGGAGAAACACUCGGCCUGCUCAUUACAAACAGUGGUCUAAAUAUGUUUAUGUGAUGCUUUAAAUGCUUUUCGUGAGUGUCACCUGCAAGAAAACAAACACAGCCUUCUCUGGAAUAAAUAAAAAGUGUCUAACUUUU
Sebastes umbrosus (honeycomb rockfish) is the source of this 427-nucleotide long non-coding RNA. RefSeq lists it as uncharacterized. NCBI's taxonomy places the organism in Eukaryota, Metazoa, Chordata, Actinopteri, Perciformes, Sebastidae. The transcript is spliced from 2 exons. The record is from RefSeq and is a predicted model, not a curated record.